GAAACUUGUAUCCAUGAUUGUGGGCUGAGC
RNAcentral lists this non-coding RNA (30 nucleotides) under Rattus norvegicus (Norway rat). Lineage: Eukaryota; Metazoa; Chordata; Mammalia; Rodentia; Muridae. The record is from RNAcentral.